CUCUGAGAAGAGCUUUCCCUUCGGGGACAAAGUGACAGGUGGUGCAUGGUUGUCGUCAGCUCGUGUCGUGAGAUGUUGGGUUAAGUCCCGCAACGAGCGCAACCCUUAUUACUAGUUGCCAGCAUUUAGUUGGGCACUCUAGUGAGACUGCCGGUGACAAACCGGAGGAAGGUGGGGACGACGUCAAAUCAUCAUGCCCCUUAUGACCUGGGCUACACACGUGCUACAAUGGAUGGUACAACGAGUCGCGAGACCGCGAGGUUUAGCUAAUCUCUUAAAACCAUUCUCAGUUCGGAUUGUAGGCUGCAACUCGCCUACAUGAAGCCGGAAUCGCUAGUAAUCGCGGAUCAGCAUGCCGCGGUGAAUACGUUCCCGGGUCUUGUACACACCG
RNAcentral lists this ribosomal RNA (391 nucleotides) under uncultured bacterium. RNAcentral's name for it is "bacterial SSU rRNA". It matches the Rfam family "Bacterial small subunit ribosomal RNA", at positions 999 to 1392 of the family's 1533-position model. The record is from RNAcentral. RNAcentral also lists the same sequence under 1 other name.